UAGCAGAUACAUUCCAGCCAAUCAGCAGCAGACCCUCCCUCCCAGAUCCUCUCACCUCCUGGACAGCUCACUAAGAAUGCAGCUUCACAAUGAAUGUAAAAGGGAUGCUGUCCAGGAGGUGGGAGGGUCUGGGAGGGAGGGUCUGCUGCUGAUUGGCUGGAAUGUGUCUGCUG
Molecule: non-coding RNA, 173 nt
Organism: Pelobates cultripes (western spadefoot toad)
Lineage: Eukaryota; Metazoa; Chordata; Amphibia; Anura; Pelobatidae
Source: the annotation of a GenBank genome assembly